Molecule: ribosomal RNA, 585 nt
Filed under: uncultured bacterium
Lineage: Bacteria
Description: partial 16S ribosomal RNA
Rfam family: Bacterial small subunit ribosomal RNA
Source: RNAcentral
UGGGGAAUAUUGCACAAUGGGCGAAAGCCUGAUCCAGCAAUGCCGCGUGUGUGAAGAAGGCCUUCGGGUUGUAAAGCACUUUUGUCCGGAAAGAAAUCCUUGGCUCUAAUACAGUCGGGGGAUGACGGUACCGGAAGAAUAAGCACCGGCUAACUACGUGCCAGCAGCCGCGGUAAUACGUAGGGUGCAAGCGUUAAUCGGAAUUACUGGGCGUAAAGCGUGCGCAGGCGGUUUGCUAAGACCGAUGUGAAAUCCCCGGGCUCAACCUGGGAACUGCAUUGGUGACUGGCAGGCUAGAGUAUGGCAGAGGGGGGUAGAAUUCCACGUGUAGCAGUGAAAUGCGUAGAGAUGUGGAGGAAUACCGAUGGCGAAGGCAGCCCCCUGGGCCAAUACUGACGCUCAUGCACGAAAGCGUGGGGAGCAAACAGGAUUAGAUACCCUGGUAGUCCACGCCCUAAACGAUGUCAACUAGUUGUUGGGGAUUCAUUUCCUUAGUAACGUAGCUAACGCGUGAAGUUGACCGCCUGGGGAGUACGGUCGCAAGAUUAAAACUUAAAGGAAUUGACGGGGUCAUAGCUGUUUCCU